GAUGAACGCUGGCGGCGUGCCUAAUACAUGCAAGUCGAGCGAACGGGCGAGAAGCUUGCUUCUCUGAUGUUAGCGGCGAACGGGUGAGUAACACGUGGAUAACCUACCUAUAAGACUGGGAUAACUUCGGGAAACCGGAGCUAAUACCGGAUAAUAUUUUGAACCGCAUUGUUCAAAAGUGAAAGACGGUCUUGCUGUCACUUAUAGAUGGAUCCGCGCUGCAUUAGCUAGUUGGUAAGGUAACGGCUUACCAAGGCAACGAUGCAUAGCCGACCUGAGAGGGGGGGCGGCCAGACUGGAACUGAGACAAGGUACAGACCCCUACGGGAGGCAGCAGUAGAGAAGCUUACGCAAUGGGCGAAAGCCUGACGGAGCAACGCCGCGUGAGGGAUGAAGGGCUUCGGAUCGUAAUACUCUGUUAUUAGGGAAGAACAUAUGUGUAAGUAACUGUGCACAUCUUGACGGUACCUAAUCAGAAAGCCCCGGCUAACUACGUG
RNAcentral lists this ribosomal RNA (497 nucleotides) under uncultured bacterium. RNAcentral describes it as "partial 16S ribosomal RNA". It matches the Rfam family "Bacterial small subunit ribosomal RNA", at positions 28 to 507 of the family's 1533-position model. The record is from RNAcentral.